This is an RNA transcript of Mangifera indica (mango), 1646 nucleotides long. It is a transcript of the gene named zinc finger BED domain-containing protein RICESLEEPER 2-like, with no coding region annotated. The record is from RefSeq and is a predicted model, not a curated record. The transcript is spliced from 4 exons. Lineage: Eukaryota; Viridiplantae; Streptophyta; Magnoliopsida; Sapindales; Anacardiaceae.
CAAUGGCCGGUCCAGACUUGAGUGGGUUUAGGCCUGUUUAACCAGCUUUAUUAAGCUUAUAAUGGAAGUGAAAAAUGCUUACAGGUAGUGAAUUAGUUUGGUUCAUUUGUGAGGAAAGAGAUGGAAGCAAUGUCCGUUGGAUCUGAUCCUCGUCUUUAUUCUCUAGUUAAGUAUUUGUUUUCUCAUGUCAAUCAUGUUAAAUCCAUUUGUCUCUCUCUGAUACCUGUUUAAUUUCUGUUGGUGGGAAAGAUAAAAAUCAGUGAGAGAAUCAAGCGUUUGCAAGAUUUAUUGCAAUGGUACAAAAACAACUUCACCCCAGAAAAUGCUGGAAUCCUUCAUGAUUCCAAGGCAUACCUUCAAUCUCUUCAACGACAAAUAACGGAACUUGAAUCUUUAGCACAACAGGGUGGAGCAACUGUAUCUUCCGAUGUUAAUGGAACAUAUCUGCAAUGCGGACAGAUUGAGGAGACUUUUUGAAGAAUUGGUUUCAGGAUUGGAACACAGGUUAUUGAGCUUGAGAAUUGGCUUAAUGAAGGAGCUUUACUUUCUUUCAUUGGAAAAUAUUGUCCAUGUUAUAGUUUUUUAUAUACACUUAUGAAUGAUGUUAUAGUUGAAUCUAAAGUUAUGUGUGAGCUAUUGGAAAGUGAUAUUUUCAUUGAAGUCAGGACCGUUAAAGACUACUGCACAUCGAAACCAAGCAAAUAUUGGUUUGAAUUAGCUGUAAAAAAGGCUGUAUCCAAGGGUAAAAAGAUAUACAAUCUUAGAUGUUUUGAUGAUGACGACCUACUUGAGUGGGUAAUGGGAUGUAAAGAAGCAAUUUGUGAACUAGAACUUAUAGAUUCUUAUUUCAAGUCUCUCAGUUUUGAUAAAUUAACUAGACUGCACAGAGUGCUGGCAUCAUUACAAGGUAUGAAAAAUGAAGUUUCGAAACUGAGAGCUUCUGAAUUUAAGUUGGCAAAUGAGUGUUUCCCUAUGGUUUAUCACCUUUUUUUCUAAAAUGCUACUGUUCAAAAAAAGUAAAAAUCUUUUCUUUUGCUGGGUUGCAUUAUACUGCAGAGAUAUAUUUGAUGAAUAUUGUGACAACUCUGAGUUGGUUUUAGUAAUCACAGUAAUUCUAGAUCCAUGAUUUGAAAUGGAUAUUGUGGAACAUCUCUGCAAUGAAAUUUAUGAUGAUGAGGCAGACACACAUUUGAAGAAAAUGUUUGAUGAUGUUACAAAUAUUUACAGUGAAUAUGCAGAGGAUGUCAACAGUUCUGAAUCAUUAUGCUCUUCAAAACAAGGUGAUGGUAGUUCUUCCAUGGGAAGACCAAAUGCAUUUCCACAGAAUGCGACUGAUGUUGCUUCACUGAAAUCAGAACUCAAUCACUAUUUGACAGAUUCUAAGGUUCAUCCACAUGAAGAGUUUGAUGUCCUGGAAUGGUGGCAUUACAAUUCUCUAACUUAUCCAACAUUAGCUAGGAUUGUUCGUGAUUUCUUAUCAAUACCUAUUUCUACUUGUUAUACUAGUUUUUGUUCUUCUUUGUGGGAUGACAUUGAUGGUAUUUAUAUUACUGGUUUGGAUGUCUGACUUAAAAUGUGCUUGGGUCUGUACAAAAGUCUGGUUGAGUGACUCUGAAAAUAAAUAAUGAAGUGUUGUUGAAAAUUUA